RNAcentral lists this transfer RNA (72 nucleotides) under Camelus bactrianus (Bactrian camel). It matches the Rfam family "tRNA". From Rfam's summary of the family: Transfer RNA (tRNA) molecules are approximately 80 nucleotides in length. Their secondary structure includes four short double-helical elements and three loops (D, anti-codon, and T loops). The record is from Rfam by way of RNAcentral. Lineage: Eukaryota; Metazoa; Chordata; Mammalia; Artiodactyla; Camelidae. RNAcentral also lists the same sequence under 2 other names.
GUGAAUAUAGCUCAGUGGUAGAGUGCAUGCUUAGCAUGCACGAGGUCCUGGGUUCAAUCCCCAGUACCUCCA